CUUUUUACAUGUAUAAGGGAUUAAUUUGCAAUUGCGACCUGUACAAAUGUUUAAGACAGUAAAACACUUAAAAAAAUGUAAACACAUUAUAAAUGUUAGAAAGUAUAGGUUUUCACCAUUGCUGUGUUCAGGAUUUUUUUUUGGGCGGAGCUAAAACGGUGGCUCGAUGACGCACUGGAGCCACUGAGCUCCUGGCCCCUCCCCAAACAACAUAACUAGAGCACACAUUCGCGUCAGUUCGCCGUUCAAUCGCGAGUUUCUGUGGACUACCAUCGUUUAAAUACCUUGACCGGAGCAUAACUGGUUAACUUCACACAAGAGACCUACUGUUGGACAAUCGUUUUGGCUUUAAAGGUAAAUGCAUUGUUAGUUACAAUGUCUAGUUACUGGGCCAAAAGGAGACGAAUAUUGAAAGGAGUUGAGAGGGACAAACAGGAAAUUGCAGCUGCAAACGAUGCUCUACUUGCUGUUAUUCCUGACUUUGACCAAGUAAAUCCUCCUGUAAAUGAACAUCAACAUGGAAUGGCUUCAACAAGCCAUGGACAAACUGUAACCCCUGAAGCACAGGAAAUAACUGUUGAUGAGGUGUAUGAACCUAGUGAAAUUUUUUCCUCAAGCACAGAAGAUAGUGAGGAGGAAGAGGAUUGCCUAAGGACACAAUUGGCAGGGUGGGCUAUUGACAACAUGAUCCCCCAUGUGGCACUGGGUAAGCUUUGGCGUUGCUUGACAACAGUUUGAGGCAGGAUAAAGAGCUCCAGGAACGAUUUCUUCGGUUUUUGGCAAUCAAAUGUGGGAGGGACCUAAAGACAACCGUCUGGCGGAUGCUUCAAAGUAUCUUCUCUAAUCACCUUUCCAUCAAUACAACCUGGACUGGAGUUGGGGAUAAAGCAUGUUUUAGAGACAUGUUCCUGAAGACCAUUGUUCAAAGAGCCAUCCGGAAGAACCCGGCAACACAGGAUGCCACUGAUGAAGCCAUCCAGGUUAACGUUACGCGUUACCUGAAAGGAGCAUCUGACCGUGAAGGCGGAAAAAGGCGCCGCACAGCUGAGAGGGACCCACAGCCGACCCCUUAAACCUAGGCUGACUACUGACAUCCCAGCAUCACUGACAACUGGAACCCUUUCUUUAUCCUGCAGUCAGUAACAUCAAGACCCCUAAAGAAGCCAGAAGUGUCAGACUGCACUCCCCAAUCCACACUGUUCACUGUGGAUAUUAUCAUAGUGCUUAACUUAUUAUAUUGUUAAAUAUAGCUUGUAAAUCCUUGUGCCACAGGUCAGCAUUGCAGUUAUAUCUGUUCUACUACUUUUUUUACCUCAGUAUUUUUUAUAUAUAUUUGAAGAUGUUUAUCACAGAUACAAGAGACAUCUUGUACCCCAGGUCAGCAAUGCCAUUAUAAUGGUCUAUUCUAC
Carassius gibelio (silver crucian carp) is the source of this 1409-nucleotide long non-coding RNA. RefSeq lists it as uncharacterized. NCBI's taxonomy places the organism in Eukaryota, Metazoa, Chordata, Actinopteri, Cypriniformes, Cyprinidae. The transcript has 4 exons. The record is from RefSeq and is a predicted model, not a curated record.